UCCCUGGUGGCUCAGAGGUUAAAGCAUCUGCCUGCAAUGCAGAAGACCUGGGUUCAAUCCCUGGGUUGGGAA
RNAcentral lists this transfer RNA (72 nucleotides) under Ovis aries (sheep). It matches the Rfam family "tRNA". Rfam says of the family: Transfer RNA (tRNA) molecules are approximately 80 nucleotides in length. Their secondary structure includes four short double-helical elements and three loops (D, anti-codon, and T loops). Lineage: Eukaryota; Metazoa; Chordata; Mammalia; Artiodactyla; Bovidae. The record is from Rfam by way of RNAcentral.